Molecule: long non-coding RNA, 471 nt
Organism: Dama dama (fallow deer)
Lineage: Eukaryota; Metazoa; Chordata; Mammalia; Artiodactyla; Cervidae
Exons: 3
Source: RefSeq, a predicted model, not a curated record
AGUUUUUAAAAGGCUUUAUUGAAUUUGUUACAGCAUUGCUUGUGUUUUAUGUUUUGUUUUUUUUUUUUGGCUGUGAGGCAUGUGGGAUCUUAACUCCCCACCUGGGAUGGAACCAGGACCCCCUGCAUUGGAAGGCUAUUGAUUCAUCCAAGGUUAUCCAAUCUAAUGAACAUCAGAGACAGAAUGGGAAUGAUUGCCAAAGACUACUCCUGCAAAGGAAGCGAUGUGGGGUUUCUACAAACAUACACUUGAUAAGAAACAGCAGCAACUGGGGUGCAUAUAUUUCCUCCUGGGCCUGGCAGGCUGGGAGCAGAACACAGACAAAGGCAUUGAGGCACGUGGGCCUGUGAUGGCCUGGAUUUCGCCUCCCGGAUGGUAAUGAAAUGAAUGUGAAGGGACUGAAGUGAUCGUCCCAGAACUGAGAGACGGUGUGGAAGCAACACAAGUGUUGAUCAGGGCGCAGGUGCAGGA